GCCUUUGUGGUGUAGUGGUCAGCACGCUCGGCGCGUAACCGAGAGGUCCAUGGUUCGAUUCCCGGCAAAGGCG
This 73-nucleotide transfer RNA is filed under the name Stegodyphus mimosarum. RNAcentral describes it as "tRNA-Thr for anticodon CGU". It matches the Rfam family "tRNA". Rfam says of the family: Transfer RNA (tRNA) molecules are approximately 80 nucleotides in length. Their secondary structure includes four short double-helical elements and three loops (D, anti-codon, and T loops). The record is from Rfam by way of RNAcentral. Lineage: Eukaryota; Metazoa; Arthropoda; Arachnida; Araneae; Eresidae.